This is a long non-coding RNA of Oryctolagus cuniculus (rabbit), 1603 nucleotides long. The record is from Ensembl. NCBI's taxonomy places the organism in Eukaryota, Metazoa, Chordata, Mammalia, Lagomorpha, Leporidae.
AUUCAAUAGUAUGUUCAGAUUUUCAAAAGUGUCUCAGGGGCAUUCAAAAAGAUAAUAGAAAGUGUGUUUUUCAUGGAUUUCAAAUUUUUUUGCACUAAAAUAAAUGUUUAAUUCCAUUUUCCCAUAAACUUUUUCAAAUGCAUUCAUAUUUGUUUUUAAUUAUUGAAAAAAAAUUUCAUUUAGUAAGAUCUGCUCUUCCUACUUCUGUUACUCUGAAUAUCAACUGAGAAAAUAUGUCAAAUACAUCAAAGAUGGUACAUAACCAUACAGCUAUGAGAGAACACUAUUCCCAUUAUUUCACCCUUCCUACUUUUAGAGAUGUUAAAAAUAAACCUAUCAGCCGGCACUGCUGCUCACUAGGCUAAUCCUCAGCCUCCAGCACCAGCAUUCCAGGUACUAGUCCCAGUCGGGGCACCGGAUUCUGUCCUGGUUGCUCCUCUUCCAGGCCAGCUCUCUGCUGUGGCCCAGGAGUGCAGUGGAGGAUAGCCCAAGUGCUUGGGCUCUGCACCUGCAUGGGAGACCAGGAGGAAGCACCUGGCUCCUGGCUUUGGAUCGGCGUAGCGCGCCAGCUAUAGCAGCCAUUUGGGGGGUGAACCAACAGAAAAAGGAAGACCUUUCUCUCUGUCUCUCUCUCUCACUGUCUAACUCUGCCUGUCAAAAUAAAUAAAUAAAUAAAUACACCUAUCAUAAUGUUUUUAUUUCAAAUAUCAGAUGAGUGACAUAAAUUUGAAAUUAGGAUUAAAAAGUGCCCUAGUCAAGGCAAAAUGGAUGUACAAAGGACAUUUAAGAGAAAAUAUCUCUUUUUUAAGAUUUAUUUAUUUAUUUGAAAGGCAGAACAACAGAGAGAGAGAAAGAAAGGAGGAGAGAGAGGGGAAAGGGAGGGAGAGAGAGCAAGAGAGAGAGAAUGAAUCUACAAUUUGCUGGUUCACUCCCCCAAACAGCCACAACAGUCUGGUAAGGGCCAGGCCAAGUCAGGAGCUGGGAACACCGUCCUAGUCUCUCACGUGGGUGGCAGGCGCCCACGUCCCUGGAUCAUCUUUGGUCGCCUUUCCAGGCAUGUUAGCAGGAAGCUGGAUUCGAAGUGGAGGAGCCAAGACAAAAACCAGCAUUCCAAUAUGGGUUGCUGGCAUCCCAGGCACCAGCUUCACCUGCGGCACCACUGUGCCAGCCCCUCUAGACCACUUCUUUUCCCAAGAGAUCACUUUAUCUGAGGGUGUGAUACACUUCUAAUCAAUUUUCAAAGUUUGAAUAAUGUCAAGUUAAGACUUUUUCCAUACUGAAGCUCAGUUCCUACCCUGGAUUCUGUUAUUUUAAAACUUUCAGGUAGGAGUGAGCAUUUAUCCUAAUGGCUAAGAUGCACACAUCCACAACAGAGUGUUUGGGUUCAAUUCCUGGCUCUGGCUCCUGACUCCAGCUUCCUGCUAAUGCAGAUCCUUGUAGGCGGCAAAGAUGGCUCAAGUAAUUAGGUUCCUGCCUGCACACUGGAGAUCUGUACUGCAUUCAGGCACCUGGUUCCAAUCUCGCCAGGGCCCAGCCCCAGCCAUUGCAGGCAUUUGGAGAGAAACCUGUAGAUUGCGGGUUUCCAACUCACUGCUCUCCCCCU